Molecule: ribosomal RNA, 445 nt
Filed under: uncultured bacterium
Lineage: Bacteria
Description: bacterial SSU rRNA
Rfam family: Bacterial small subunit ribosomal RNA
Source: RNAcentral
GGAUUGUAAACUCCUUUUAUCAGGGACGAUAAUGACGGUACCUAAAGAAAAAGCUCCGGCUAAGUACGUGCCAGCAGCCGCGGUAAUACGUAGGGAGCGAGCGUUGUCCGGAAUUACUGGGUGUAAAGGGAGCGUAGGCGGGAUAGCAAGUCAGAUGUGAAAACUAUGGGCUCAACCUGUAGAUUGCAUUUGAAACUGUUGUUCUUGAGUGAAGUAGAGGUAAGCGGAAUUCCUAGUGUAGCGGUGAAAUGCGUAGAUAUUAGGAGGAACAUCGGUGGCGAAGGCGGCUUACUGGGCUUUUACUGACGCUGAGGCUCGAAAGCGUGGGGAGCAAACAGGAUUAGAUACCCUGGUAGUCCACGCUGUAAACGAUGAUUAUUAGGUGUGGGGGGACUGACCCCUUCCGUGCCGCAGUUAACACAAUAAGUAAUCCACCUGGGGAGUA